RNAcentral lists this small nucleolar RNA (123 nucleotides) under Castor canadensis (American beaver). RNAcentral's name for it is "Small nucleolar RNA SNORA51 (ENSCCNG00000007195.1)". It matches the Rfam family "Small nucleolar RNA SNORA51". Rfam says of the family: ACA51 is a member of the H/ACA class of snoRNA that guide the sites of modification of uridines to pseudouridines. The record is from RNAcentral. Lineage: Eukaryota; Metazoa; Chordata; Mammalia; Rodentia; Castoridae.
AGCCACCUGGUGUUGUGUUCUGACACUGACUGUAUAGAAAGAGGAGGCAAGGUAAACCUACCUCCUCUAUACCUCAGCUCAGGCCCUGUGCCUGAUCUGUCUUGUGAAUGGCAAGAUUCAAGG